Molecule: ribosomal RNA, 301 nt
Filed under: uncultured bacterium
Lineage: Bacteria
Description: partial 16S ribosomal RNA
Rfam family: Bacterial small subunit ribosomal RNA
Source: RNAcentral
CAGUAGCCGCGGUAAUACGAAGGGGGCUAGCGUUGUUCGGAUUUACUGGGCGUAAAGGGCGCGUAGGCGGACUGAUAAGUCAGGGAUGAAAUCCCAAGGCUCAACCUUGGAACCGCCUUUGAUACUGUUUGUCUUGAGUUCGAGAGAGGUAAGUGGAACUGCGAGUGUAGAGGUGAAAUUCGUAGAUAUUCGCAAGAACACCAGUGGCGAAGGCGGCUUACUGGCUCGAAACUGACGCUGAGGCGCGAAAGCGUGGGGAGCAAACAGGAUUAGAUACCCGCGUAGUCCCUGUCUCUUAUAC